Long non-coding RNA from Melitaea cinxia (Glanville fritillary), 604 nucleotides. RefSeq lists it as uncharacterized. The record is from RefSeq and is a predicted model, not a curated record. The transcript has 2 exons. Lineage: Eukaryota; Metazoa; Arthropoda; Insecta; Lepidoptera; Nymphalidae.
CACAAAUGACUUAAGGCUAGCUUACACUUCGAUUAGUACAGGUGUUUAGCAAUUGCGGUGCGAGUGCCAGUCCUUAGUGCCAGUUGUGUUCAAUACUGUUUAGCUCCUGCGAUUAGUAAUUCAAGUUUUGGGCGUCGAGCAGCAAGUAUGGAUGAACAAAAACAAGCGCGCUUGCUAUUGCAAGAAAUACUUUUAAAAAAAUGAACGCGGUAGUGUUUGAAACUAAAGAACUUUUCGAAUCGGAACUUGCAAGGUCAAACUAUAGGAACGAAAGUGGAUAAGUAGUAGACCCAUUCAUGGCGCACGCUACCAACUUCUCCAGGAAUUGGCUUCUGAAGAUACCACGGAAUAUUACUAUGCUCAGGUACCUAGUGACACCAAAUAGAAAAAGAUUGAGCAAGGUUUCAAAAAUUCUUGGUGUUUCCCUAGUUGCUAAGGUGUUAUAGAUGACCAUUAAAGCUCCACCACAAGCAGGAAGUUAUUACUACAACCAUAAAAAAUCUAAUAGCAUUGUACUCGUGGCAGUAGCAGAUGAUGGCUACUGUUUUACAUAUUUUGAUGUUGGCUGUAAUAAAAGUAUAUCAGAUGGUGGAGUUUUCUCAAA